AUUGAACGCUGGCGGCAGGCCUAACACUGCAAGUCGAGCGGCAGCGGAAAGUAGCUGCUACUUUGCCGGCGAGCGGCGGACGGGUGAGUAAUGUCUGGGAAACUGCGUGAUGGAGGGGGAUAACUACUGGAAACGGUAGCUAAUACCGCAUGACCUCGAAAGAGCAAAGUGGGGGAUCUUCGGACCUCACGCCAUCGGAUGUGCCCAGAUGGGAUUAGCUAGUAGGUGAGGUAAUGGCUCACCUAGGCGACGAUCCCUAGCUGGUCUGAGAGGAUGACCAGCCACACUGGAACUGAGACACGGUCCAGACUCCUACGGGAGGCAGCAGUGGGGAAUAUUGCACAAUGGGCGCAAGCCUGAUGCAGCCAUGCCGCGUGUGUGAAGAAGGCCUUAGGGUUGUAAAGCACUUUCAGCGAGGAGGAAGGCAUCAUACUUAAUACGUGUGGUGAUUGACGUUACUCGCAGAAGAAGCACCGGCUAACUCCGUGCCAGCAGCCGCGGUAAUACGGAGGGUGCAAGCGUUAAUCGGAAUUACUGGGCGUAAAGCGCACGCAGGCGGUUUGUUAAGUCAGAUGUGAAAUCCCCGCGCUUAACGUGGGAACUGCAUUUGAAACUGGCAAGCUAGAGUCUUGUAGAGGGGGGUAGAAUUCCAGGUGUAGCGGUGAAAUGCGUAGAGAUCUGGAGGAAUACCGGUGGCGAAGGCGGCCCCCUGGACAAAGACUGACGCUCAGGUGCGAAAGCGUGGGGAGCAAACAGG
Molecule: ribosomal RNA, 757 nt
Filed under: uncultured Enterobacteriaceae bacterium
Lineage: Bacteria; Pseudomonadati; Pseudomonadota; Gammaproteobacteria; Enterobacterales; Enterobacteriaceae
Description: bacterial SSU rRNA
Rfam family: Bacterial small subunit ribosomal RNA
Source: RNAcentral